AGCAGCCGCGGUAAUUCCAGCUCCAAUAGCGUAUAUUAAAGUUGUUGCAGUUAAAAAGCUCGUAGUUGAAUUUCGGGAUCAAUAUUUCGGUCAUGCCGUUGGUAUGCACUGUUAUCAUUGAUUUCUCACCUUCUAAAGAACCGUAAUGCCAUUAAUUUGGUGUUACGGGGAAUUAGGACUGUUACCUUGAAAAAAUUAGAGUGUUUAAAGCAGGCUCACGCUUGAAUACAUUAGCAUGGAAUAAUGAAAUAGGACAUCCGAUUCUAUUUUGUUGGUUUCUAGGAUCGAUGUAAUGAUUAAUAGGGAUAGUUGGGGGCAUUAGUAUUCAAUUGUCAGAGGUGAAAUUCUUGGAUUUAUUGAAGACUAACUACUGCGAAAGCAUUUGCCAAGGAUGUUUUCAUUAAUCAAGUACGAAAGUUAGGGAUCGAAGACGAUCAGAUACCGUCGUAGUCUUAACCAUAAACUAUGCCGACUAGGGAUCGGAUGAUGUUAAUUUUUUAAUGACUCA
RNAcentral lists this ribosomal RNA (508 nucleotides) under Glomus sp. Glo1B. RNAcentral's name for it is "SSU rRNA". It matches the Rfam family "Eukaryotic small subunit ribosomal RNA", at positions 569 to 1078 of the family's 1831-position model. The record is from RNAcentral. Lineage: Eukaryota; Fungi; Glomeromycota; Glomeromycetes; Glomerales; Glomeraceae.